ACGUUGGCAGCCCUGAAUCAUAGCUAUUGGCAGGCCUGAAUGAACCCGAAACAGUCGACCCUUCAGAUACAAAGCAGCGAGCGGCCAAACCCAUCAUCUCUCAAACCCAGACCAACGCUGCUAUGACACAAGACGCUUCCACCAUCAUUCCUACGGCUGAGAAGAUAGAAGAAGACGUCCCUGGGUGAGCCACAAGACGAAGAAGCUGUGUUAUCGUUGUCCAGGGAGCAAGGAAGCCAAGAGAAGCCGGAUUGAGCUGAAAUUCGUGAAGUUUGAGGGACAUUUGUAUUCCUGAGCCGACCGACGCCCCGCCAUGCUGCCUCUCUCGUCUCCUUCACCUCGGGCCUCGAUGUCUUCUGCGGCCCAUUGUCUUCAAACGUUGAUAAAUUAAUCCACUUCCCUCACUCAACCUCAUCUUGACGUAUGAUUGGCGGACGUCAGGUGAAGGAAGAAGCACUUGGUUGGUGGACGAUGAAGAGCAGAGGAACGAUAUCGUGGGCUUGUAUACUUAAGUUAUUCUGAACGCACUAAUAACGGGUCAUAGUAGAGUAGAUGUUCUUGACAGUCAUGCAUGCUUGUCGCAGUGAAUAUAAAUGCAACAGGAGCGGGAGGGGAAGGCUGAAUAUAGUCAUUAUGAGCUGCGCUGGGAAGAAGAAAAGUGAUCGUCAAUAUCGUACACGAAAGAAAGCCCUACUUAGUUGAUAGCCAUGAAACUGAAGCCGUCACUGGUCGGCCACCUCUUCAGUAACACCACAUGUCCUGUCGCUGCCCCUGAUGCUAUACUUCAUCAAAGUCCUCAAGCUGCUUAAGUUUUAUGGUUGACAGGAUCUAGAAGCUCAUGAUGUAACCCUGCACCUUGCUGGUGCAGGGGAGUUGGGAGGAAAAGUCUGAUGAUAACUUGUGUGUCAGGCGGUGAGGACGACAGUAGUCCCAAUUGCGUGGCGGGAUUCAAGAUGCGCCGAGGACUGGUACAGAAAGAUUUGAGGAAGAACCUGGUGGUGCCACGGCAUCGCUCGUAAGCAGCCCACUACCCUCUCCUGUACCAGAGGAAAGGAGGAACCUGGUCGACCUCGGCAUAUCUCAACAGCCCACUAUCCUCUCGUGUACAAGAGAAAAAGUGUAAGUCAAUAAAUUUAUAUCUAGAAAA
Eriocheir sinensis (Chinese mitten crab) is the source of this 1147-nucleotide long non-coding RNA. RefSeq lists it as uncharacterized. The record is from RefSeq and is a predicted model, not a curated record. NCBI's taxonomy places the organism in Eukaryota, Metazoa, Arthropoda, Malacostraca, Decapoda, Varunidae. The transcript has 4 exons.